This 19-nucleotide small nuclear RNA is filed under the name Arabidopsis thaliana (thale cress). RNAcentral describes it as "snRNA_12690". The record is from RNAcentral. Lineage: Eukaryota; Viridiplantae; Streptophyta; Magnoliopsida; Brassicales; Brassicaceae.
UUUAACUCAUCCAGAUCCA